CCUGAGUGGCGAACGGGUGAGGAACACGUGGUCGACCUACCCCGGCGUGGGGGAUACCCUGUGGAAACACAGGCUAAUACCGCGUACGGUUCACGGGCGAGAGGCCGGUGAAAGAAAGCCGCAAGGCGCGCUGGGAGGGGACUGCGGCCGAUUAGCUAGUUGGUGGGGUAAUGGCUUACCAAGGCGAUGAUCGGUAGCGGGUCUGAGAGGAUGAUCCGCCACACGGGGACUGAGACACGGCCCCG
This 245-nucleotide ribosomal RNA is filed under the name uncultured bacterium. RNAcentral describes it as "partial 16S ribosomal RNA". It matches the Rfam family "Bacterial small subunit ribosomal RNA", at positions 90 to 334 of the family's 1533-position model. The record is from RNAcentral.